Lolium perenne is the source of this 1377-nucleotide long non-coding RNA. RefSeq lists it as uncharacterized. The record is from RefSeq and is a predicted model, not a curated record. NCBI's taxonomy places the organism in Eukaryota, Viridiplantae, Streptophyta, Magnoliopsida, Poales, Poaceae.
CUUUCGCUCAAAUUACAUAACAUGUACUACAUCCAGCUAUAGUCGUACACUACAAUGCAUCAGUAAAGUAAAUGGCACUAGAUCAUACAGGGAAAACGCUUGAAGUUAAACAUUGUGAUCGCAAGAGAUGAAAACCCGCAUAACUAGUGGUUCGGUUAAUACGAGGAUUGUUGGAAGAAAACAAUUCCAACUAGAAAUUCCUUCAGAUGUUCCAGCUAUAAAGGCACACACGAACGACAUAGGUAAAUUCCACGUACAAAAAAUAAUAAUAUCGUCAUAUAGAUAAUUGUACUUCCGAUGUAUGCAAUAUAUGUUCGCUGAAUCAUCACAUAUAUGUACAUGUAUAAGCUCUCGGGCGCAAUUGAUAUUGAGCCGAACAACUAGAGCAAAAGGGUAGUUAACCACUUCAUUUUUUUUGAUGACAACGACACUACCCUCACAGGUAGAGAUGCAAUAGCAAUACUGCUUGCUGCAACCACUGAAAGCCGUCCUGAUUUCGUCCCUCGAGCCAUUGCCCCAUUGCCAACACGGUGGGGAAGAAGUGUAUUGUUUUCGCUGAUGUGACACUGGAAACUCUUGACAUGGGAUAGUUUAAUUUCUUCACCAUGUCAAAUGUCCAGCUGAUUAAUACUACAGCACUACCAGAGCCAUCUCCUAGCAACUCCAGCCGAGCAGCAAGCAAUGAAGCAUCUGUGCUUACACACCCACCUUGAGAUAUACAGAAUCACCUCGAGGACGAGAAAGACCCACAAAGCAGCACCUGCAAGGGGCGUACUUGAGCGCGUGUUUUUUUGGUCUUUUUUCAGCUUUUCAUCACUAGAAAAAGCCAGCAAAUCAAAAUAAAUGUGUGGCUUUGGGAGCUGUCUUUCCUAAAGCCAAAGCAACAAAUAGGCUGAAGAAGCAGUCAACAUGGACAUAGGAGCAGGAUCAACAACUCAAGGAAAGAAGAUAAACAAUGCAUUGCCAACAACUAAAACAGCAAAAAAAGGUACAUUCAACUACCAUAUUCAUGUUACAUCAAUCUCACAUCAUACUGGUGAGAAGGGGCUAGCGAAGGAACUCUUCCCUCAGCUAUCAUCAAAGGCCUACUUGGAAGCAAACGAAGACAGACAGGCAACUAGGCGGCUACAAACAAAGCCUUGCUACAAACACAGCUUUCCUCCAGGAAAUCACAGCCGACUUUUGUUAUCGACGCUACGUUGUAUAAUAAUACCAUCCUAUGUAAUGCAACCGGUAGUGGACAAUCUAGCGAUCCUGUAAUAUUGUGUACCUACAACUCUAUGUAUAAUUUACUCCUACAAUAACUUUAUACACAAUACUGCAUUUUGUGAACUUCAACCGUAGAACAUUAAUGAUUUAUUCAGAAACCUUUUAAUA